This is a non-coding RNA of Myotis lucifugus (little brown bat), 119 nucleotides long. Lineage: Eukaryota; Metazoa; Chordata; Mammalia; Chiroptera; Vespertilionidae. The record is from Rfam.
GUGUUGCAUGAGAGGAGAGAAGGCUAUCACUCCCCUUAACAAGGAAGGAAGAGGCUCUCAGGCCUAACAAUAAUUAGAUUAAGAAUUUAAAAUUAGUAUUUUUAAAUGAAUAGAUUUUA